AGGAUGAACGCUGGCGGCGUGCCUAAUACAUGCAAGUCGAGCGGUAAGGCCCCUUCGGGGGUACACGAGCGGCGGACGGCUGAGUAACACGUAGGAACGUACCCCAAACUGAGGGAUAAGCACCAGAAAUGGUGUCUAAUACCGCAUGUGAUCUUCGGAUUAAAGCUUCGGCGGUUUGGGAACGGCCUGCGCAUGAUUAGCUUGUUGGUGAGGUAAUGGCUCACCAAGGCGACGAUCAUUAGCUGGUCUGAGAGGAUGACCAGCCAGACUGGAACUGAGAACGGUCCAGACUCCUACGGGAGGCAGCAGUAGGGAAUUUUCCACAAUGGACGAAAGUCUGAUGGAGCAACGCCGCGUGCAGGAUGAAGGCCCUUGGGUCGUAAACUGCUUUUAUAUGUGACGAUUAUGACGGUAGCAUAUGAAUAAGGAUCGGCUAACUCCGUGCCAGCAGCCGC
This 455-nucleotide ribosomal RNA is filed under the name uncultured bacterium. Its description in RNAcentral is "SSU rRNA". It matches the Rfam family "Bacterial small subunit ribosomal RNA", at positions 26 to 518 of the family's 1533-position model. The record is from RNAcentral.